Argentina anserina (silverweed cinquefoil) is the source of this 1843-nucleotide RNA transcript. It is a transcript of the gene named cardiolipin synthase (CMP-forming), mitochondrial, with no coding region annotated. The transcript has 9 exons. The record is from RefSeq and is a predicted model, not a curated record. NCBI's taxonomy places the organism in Eukaryota, Viridiplantae, Streptophyta, Magnoliopsida, Rosales, Rosaceae.
CGUCCCCGGCAAAAAUGGCGGUAUUCCGAUCCCUCCUCAGAGCCCUAAUUCAAAACCCUAAAAAAUCAUCAUCCAGAACCUUCCUCACCUCCACCAUCGCCGCCACUCUUCUCCUCCAGUCUCGCCCUCACAUCUCCAGAACCUUCCUCUCCAAUUGGAUCCAUGGGCCUCACUCCGGCCCCCUCUUCCUCUCCUCCCCUCCCUGGAACCUCUCCCAGUCCGCCACGCCGCUCCACCUCCGCCCGAACGCCGCCGUUUUGGAAAAGAUCGAAUCUUUGAACUUCCAUCUCCUCCGGAAGAAGACCACCCCGCCCGAAUUGGCCCCCGGGUCGGGUCCGCAAGUGUCGGAUCGUCAACGGUUGAGCGGCGCCGGCGGCGAUUUCGUCAAUUUGCCGAAUUCGAUCUCCAUGGCUCGGAUGGUUUCUGGUUCUGUUCUCGGAUGGAUGAUUGUGAAUGAGUGGUAUUGUGGUGCAAUGGUGGGGUUGGCUGUGUCUGGGGCAAGUGAUUGGCUGGAUGGAUAUGUGGCUAGGAGGAUGAAGAUGAAUUCUGUUGUUGGCUCAUACCUUGAUCCACUUGCCGAUAAGGUUCUUAUUGGGUGCGUUGCAUUGGCGAUGCUGCAUAAGGAUCUUCUUCACCCUGGUCUUGUUGGAAUCAUUGUGCUGCGAGAUGUUGGCCUCAUCAGUGGUGCAGUGUAUCAAAGAGCUAGUAGCUUGGGGUGGAAGUGGAAAAGUUGGUCAGACUUCUUCAACCUGGAUGGAACCCAUCCUCAGAAGGUCGAACCUCUCUUUAUUAGCAAGGUUAACACAGUGUUCCAGUUGAUUUUAGUAGUGGCGGCUCUCCUCCAACCAGAGUUUGGAACACUAGAAACUCAGUCAUAUGUUACAUCCUUGAGUUGGUUGGUGGCAUCAACAACAUUGGCUUCCACUGCAGCGUAUGGAGCACAACACUUGAGGAAAUCGGCAUCCAUUGCUUGGAAAUGCUGAUUGAGUAUCGCUAGAUUGUUCAGACUGCAACAACUUCCACCUGAGUUCGAACCAACAUAAUGACUUAUCGUUUUCCAUCUAGAUGUUUGAAGAGCUACAUGGUUUAUACCUUUGGGAUUCUUAUCACUACUUUCGACACCUUGAAGCAACAGACAGGAUUCACAUAGCGCGGAAGACAGUGACAUCCAGAGACGACUUAGCAAUCAAACAAAGGAUAAUACAUAGAUAUAAAGGGUUCUUAUGGGCCAGAUGAGAUGCUUGCAGGAAAACGUGUAAAUCUCUAGCUGAAACAGAUUGAAACGCAAUACGAGUCAAAGUCCAUUGCAACCAUUUGUGCUGCACGCAUGAAACAUCAACUAGAAACAUGAACGAGAACAUCCAUUCACCGAUCCACGCACUAGAAAUAGGAUAUCAGAGGAAACCGGAAGCAGCUCAGAUUCUUCAAACAAACAAGUGAAACUUUCUCUCUAAAUGAUCUCACAUACCUGGUUUUGUUUAACUUGUAGUAUGAACUGUAAAGUUCAAACUUUUAUUGAAGUCGACCUAUAAUAUGGUAUAUCAUUUUGAGUUUAAACUGAGAAUUCAGACUGCAAUUAUUUUAUGCCGAGGGUAAAUACCAACAUAAGACUGUUGCUUUUCCAUUAUGAAGUUUGAAGGACAAGCUAUCUGGUUUCUACUAUUUGGGAUUCAUGUCACUCUCUUUGGAGUACUUGGAAGCAACAUGUAAGAUUCACAUAGUGAAGAAGACAGUAACAUCGAUGGAGAUACGACUUAUUGUUAAAUGGGAACAAAAGAGAAAAUAGUAUAACUAACCGUGGAUAUAACUAUGAUGUCCAAGUUUGUAUAGUCGAGAAAUCUUG